UGGGGAAUUUUGCACAAUGGGCGCAAGCCUGAUGCAGCGACGCCGCGUGAGGGAUGAAGGCCUUCGGGUUGUAAACCUUUUUCGCUCAUGGUCAAGCCGCAGCUUUGGGUUGUGGUGAGGGUAGUGGGUAAAGAAGCGCCGGCUAACUACGUGCCAGCAGCCGCGGUAAUACGUAGGGCGCGAGCGUUGUCCGGAAUUAUUGGGCGUAAAGGGCUUGUAGGCGGUUGGCCGCGUCUGCCGUGAAAUCCUCUGGCUUAACUGGGGGCGUGCGGGGGGUACGGGUUGACUUGAGUGCGGUAGGGGAGACUGGAAUUCCUGGUGUAGCGGUGGAAUGCGCAGAUAUCAGGAGGAACACCGGUGGCGAAGGCGGGUCUCUGGGCCGUUACUGACGCUGAGGAGCGAAAGCGUGGGGAGCGAACAGG
Molecule: ribosomal RNA, 422 nt
Filed under: Verrucomicrobiota bacterium
Lineage: Bacteria; Pseudomonadati; Verrucomicrobiota
Description: Verrucomicrobia bacterium partial 16S ribosomal RNA
Rfam family: Bacterial small subunit ribosomal RNA
Source: RNAcentral